GAGGGUGCAGGGGCUGGCGAGGCUCCCUGCCUCCUGCCGCUCCCCAACCUCUCCCUUAUCGGGGCCACCGGGCUCUCAACUCCCCCAUCAUCACCUUAAUAGAAACCCAUAAAUAUCUCUACCUGCUAAUUUAAAAAGGGACGGGCUGUUUAUGAGCACCCCAAGAAUGACAUUUAUGGGCCUGACGUCCAGUGGAAGAAAGGCCUGUUAAGCACGCGCAUCUGUAGAAUGGUCCCCUGGCGGCCUUCGGCAACUUCUUCUGCAACGCCUCCUGCCAGUGACCACUUCCGGCCCAUCUGGAGUCCGUUUGCUCUGCAUGCUGCGGCUGGGCACAGGCAGGUUCCACCCUGCUCCAGGGCUGUGGCCGCAGCAGGAAGGAGGUACACGGAGGCUCCAGGGAGGAGUUCACUGCGCUAACAAGCCCAUCUGCCAGUGUCCAGUGGACUAGGCGCCAGCCUGUGGGAGCUUGGCCGCUCUACCUGCCCCAAGCCUGCUUCACAGCAAGGGUGGGACCACGCGCAUGUACACGCCAUGAGGUGACUGGCCUUGCCCACCAAGCCCUCCUGCCAUGAUGGGUCAGCGUCAGCCCAAAGCCACAGGACCCAUCAAUCACCGACUGGAACUUCCAAAACUGAGCUAAA
This is a long non-coding RNA of Marmota flaviventris (yellow-bellied marmot), 641 nucleotides long. RefSeq lists it as uncharacterized. The record is from RefSeq and is a predicted model, not a curated record. Lineage: Eukaryota; Metazoa; Chordata; Mammalia; Rodentia; Sciuridae.